RNAcentral lists this ribosomal RNA (574 nucleotides) under Turbo jourdani. RNAcentral describes it as "partial 16S ribosomal RNA". It matches the Rfam family "Bacterial large subunit ribosomal RNA", at positions 1816 to 2597 of the family's 2925-position model. The record is from RNAcentral. Lineage: Eukaryota; Metazoa; Mollusca; Gastropoda; Trochida; Turbinidae.
CGCUCUCUGAAAAUACAUUAGUUAUAUUUAUGUAGAUUUAUAUAGAGAGUCGGACCUGCCCGGUGACAAAUUUGUUAAACGGCCGCGGUACUCUGACCGUGCAAAGGUAGCAUAAUCAUUUGCCUCUUAAUUGGGGGCUGGUAUGAAUGGUUUGACGAAAGCUAAGCUGUCUCUUUUUAAAUAUAUAAAAAUUAGCUUAUAGGUGAAGAGACCUAUAUUUAAUUGAGGGACAAGAAGACCCCAUUGAGCUUUAAUGAUCUAAUAAAAGCAUGAUAAGUUUAUAGUUUUAAUUUAUUACAUUUAAAUGAAGAUUUUGUUUAUUAGAAAUUUUUAGUUGGGGCGACUAAGGAACAACGGAAGCUUCCUUUAUCUAAAAUAGUAUCAUGGAAUGCAGUUUAUAAUAUAAUUGAUCCAGUAUUUUACUGAUCAAAGGAAAAAGUUACCAUGGGGAUAACAGCGUAAUCUUUCUGAAGAGUUCUUAUCGAAGGAAGGGUUUGCGACCUCGAUGUUGGACUAAGAUAUCCUAGAAAUGCAGAAGUUUCUAAUGGUUAGUCUGUUCGACUAUUAAAAUCUU